This 232-nucleotide ribosomal RNA is filed under the name uncultured bacterium. RNAcentral's name for it is "partial 16S ribosomal RNA". It matches the Rfam family "Bacterial small subunit ribosomal RNA", at positions 99 to 334 of the family's 1533-position model. The record is from RNAcentral.
CGGACGGGUGAGUAAUGUCUGGGAAACUGCCUGAUGGAGGGGGAUAACUACUGGAAACGGUAGCUAAUACCGCAUAAUGUCGCAAGACCAAAGAGGGGGACCUUAGGGCCUCUUGCCAUCGGAUGUGCCCAGAUGGGAUUAGCUAGUAGGUGGGGUAACGGCUCACCUAGGCGACGAUCCCUAGCUGGUCUGAGAGGAUGACCAGCCACACUGGAACUGAGACACGGUCCAG